RNAcentral lists this ribosomal RNA (504 nucleotides) under uncultured bacterium. RNAcentral's name for it is "partial 16S ribosomal RNA". It matches the Rfam family "Bacterial small subunit ribosomal RNA", at positions 29 to 523 of the family's 1533-position model. The record is from RNAcentral.
AUUGAACGCUGGCGGCAGGCCUAACACAUGCAAGUCGAACGGUAGCACAGAGAGCAUGCUCUCGGGUGACGAGUGGCGGACGGGUGAGUAACGUCUGGGAAACUGCCCGAUGGAGGGGGAUAACUACUGGAAACGGUAGCUAAUACCGCAUAACGUCGCAAGACCAAAGUGGGGGACCUUCGGGCCUAACACCAUCGGAUGUGCCCAGAUGGGGUUAGCUAGUAGGUGGGGUAAUGGCUCACCUAGGCGACGAUCCCUAGCUGGUCUGAGAGGAUGACCAGCCACACUGGAACUGAGACACGGUCCAGACUCCUACGGGAGGCAGCAGUGGGGAAUAUUGCACAAUGGGCGCAAGCCUGAUGCAGCCAUGCCGCGUGUAUGAAGAAGGCCUUCGGGUUGUAAAGUACUUUCAGCGGGGAGGAAGGCGGUGAAGUUAAUAGCUUCACCGAUUGACGUUACCCGCAGAAGAAGCACCGGCUAACUCCGUGCCAGCAGCCGCAGUAA